Molecule: ribosomal RNA, 1360 nt
Filed under: uncultured bacterium
Lineage: Bacteria
Description: bacterial SSU rRNA
Rfam family: Bacterial small subunit ribosomal RNA
Source: RNAcentral
GAUGAACGCUAGCGACAGGCUUAACACAUGCAAGUCGAGGGGCAGCGAGAUUGUGGCAACACGAUUGUCGGCGACCGGCGCACUGGUGAGUAACACGUAUGCAACCUGCCGCGCACUGGGGGAUAAUCUUGGGAAACCGAGUCUAAUACCCCGUAGGCCUUGUUGCCGCAUGGUAAUAAGGUAAGAGGAGUGAUCCGAUGCGCGAUGGGCGUGCGGCGCAUUAGCUAGUUGGCGGGGUAACAGCCCACCAAGGCGACGAUGCGUAGGGGUUCUGAGAGGAAGGUCCCCCACACUGGUACUGAGACACGGACCAGACUCCUACGGGAGGCAGCAGUGAGGAAUAUUGGUCAAUGGGCGGAAGCCUGAACCAGCCAUGCCGCGUGAAGGAAUAAGGCCCUAUGGGUCGUAAACUUCUUUUGUGGUGGAGCAAUAAGUGUUACGUGUAACGCGAUGAGAGUACAUCACGAAUAAGCAUCGGCUAACUCCGUGCCAGCAGCCGCGGUAAUACGGAGGAUGCAAGCGUUAUCCGGAUUUAUUGGGUUUAAAGGGUGCGUAGGCUGUAGUGCAAGUCAGGGGUGAAAGCCCGGGGCCCAACCCCGGAACUGCCCUUGAUACUGUACCACUGGAGUUCGGAUGCCGUGGGGAGGAAUGAGUAGUGUAGCGGUGAAAUGCAUAGAUAUUACUCAGAACACCGAUUGCGAAGGCAUCUCACGAAUCCGACACUGACGCUGAGGCACGAAAGCGUGGGGAUCAAACAGGAUUAGAUACCCUGGUAGUCCACGCAGUAAACGAUGAUGACUAACUGUCGGCGAUAAACAGUCGGUGGCCAAGCGAAAGCGAUAAGUCAUCCACCUGGGGAGUACGUUCGCAAGAAUGAAACUCAAAGGAAUUGACGGGGGCCCGCACAAGCGGAGGAACAUGUGGUUUAAUUCGAUGAUACGCGAGGAACCUUACCCGGGCUCGAACGGCUAGUGAACGACUCAGAGAUGAGAAGGUCCUUCGGGACACUAGUCGAGGUGCUGCAUGGUUGUCGUCAGCUCGUGCCGUGAGGUGUCGGCUUAAGUGCCAUAACGAGCGCAACCCUUGCCGCCAGUUACCAUCAAGUAGUGUUGGGGACUCUGGCGGGACUGCCACCGCAAGGUGAGAGGAAGGCGGGGAUGACGUCAAAUCAGCACGGCCCUUACGUCCGGGGCGACACACGUGUUACAAUGGCGGCCACAGAGGGAAGCCACCCUGCGAGGGGGAGCAAAUCCCGAAAAGCCGCCUCAGUUCGGACUGGAGUCUGCAACCCGACUCCACGAAGCUGGAUUCGCUAGUAAUCGCGCAUCAGCCAUGGCGCGGUGAAUACGUUCCCGGGCCU